Molecule: ribosomal RNA, 1347 nt
Filed under: uncultured bacterium
Lineage: Bacteria
Description: bacterial SSU rRNA
Rfam family: Bacterial small subunit ribosomal RNA
Source: RNAcentral
GACGAAUGCUGGCGGCGUGCUUAACACAUGCAAGUCGAACGAUGAAGCCUAGCUUGCUAGGUGGAUUAGUGGCGAACGGGUGAGUAAUACGUGAGUAACCUACCUUUAACUCUGGGAUAAGCCUGGGAAACUGGGUCUAAUACCGGAUACGACCAAUCUCCGCAUGGGGUGUUGGUGGAAAGCGUUAUGUAGUGGUUAUAGAUGGGCUCACGGCCUAUCAGCUUGUUGGUGAGGUAACGGCUCACCAAGGCGACGACGGGUAGCCGGCCUGAGAGGGUGACCGGCCACACUGGGACUGAGACACGGCCCAGACUCCUACGGGAGGCAGCAGUGGGGAAUAUUGCACAAUGGGCGCAAGCCUGAUGCAGCGACGCCGCGUGAGGGAUGACGGCCUUCGGGUUGUAAACCUCUGUUAGCAGGGAAGAAGAGAGAUUGACGGUACCUGCAGAGAAAGCGCCGGCUAACUACGUGCCAGCAGCCGCGGUAAUACGUAGGGCGCGAGCGUUGUCCGGAAUUAUUGGGCGUAAAGAGCUUGUAGGCGGUUUGUCGCGUCUGCUGUGAAGGCCGGGGCUUAACUCCGUGUAUUGCAGUGGGUACGGGCAGACUAGAGUGCAGUAGGGGAGACUGGAAUUCCUGGUGUAGCGGUGGAAUGCGCAGAUAUCAGGAGGAACACCGAUGGCGAAGGCAGGUCUCUGGGCUGUAACUGACGCUGAGAAGCGAAAGCAUGGGGAGCGAACAGGAUUAGAUACCCUGGUAGUCCAUGCCGUAAACGUUGGGCACUAGGUGUGGGGGACAUUCCACGUUUUCCGCGCCGUAGCUAACGCAUUAAGUGCCCCGCCUGGGGAGUACGGCCGCAAGGCUAAAACUCAAAGAAAUUGACGGGGGCCCGCACAAGCGGCGGAGCAUGCGGAUUAAUUCGAUGCAACGCGAAGAACCUUACCAAGGCUUGACAUAUACUGGACCGCAUCAGAGAUGGUGUUUCCCUUCGGGGCUGGUAUACAGGUGGUGCAUGGUUGUCGUCAGCUCGUGUCGUGAGAUGUUGGGUUAAGUCCCGCAACGAGCGCAACCCUCGUUCUAUGUUGCCAGCACGUUAUGGUGGGGACUCAUAGGAGACUGCCGGGGUCAACUCGGAGGAAGGUGGGGAUGACGUCAAAUCAUCAUGCCCCUUAUGUCUUGGGCUUCACGCAUGCUACAAUGGCCGGUACAGAGGGUUGCGAUACUGUGAGGUGGAGCUAAUCCCUAAAAGCCGGUCUCAGUUCGGAUUGGGGUCUGCAACUCGACCCCAUGAAGUCGGAGUCGCUAGUAAUCGCAGAUCAGCAACGCUGCGGUGAAUACGUUCCCGGGCCU